UUAAAUUGAAGAGUUUGAUCAUGGCUCAGAUUGAACGCUGGCGGCAGGCCUAACACAUGCAAGUCGAACGGUAACAGAAAGCAGCUUGCUGCUUUGCUGACGAGUGGCGGACGGGUGAGUAAUGUCUGGGAAACUGCCUGAUGGAGGGGGAUAACUACUGGAAA
Molecule: ribosomal RNA, 164 nt
Filed under: Escherichia coli
Lineage: Bacteria; Pseudomonadati; Pseudomonadota; Gammaproteobacteria; Enterobacterales; Enterobacteriaceae
Description: partial 16S ribosomal RNA
Rfam family: Bacterial small subunit ribosomal RNA
Source: RNAcentral